AAUUUUGUUUUUCUUUGCACAUUCAUGUUCUUUUUCCUGAUAGUGUGAACUGCUUUCUUUAUUAAAAAAAACAUGAAUGUGCAAAGAAAAACAAAAUUUUUUUCAAAGAGGUGGAGACAAUCUACACAAUUUUUGUGUCAUAACGAUUACGAAACUCUUGUAAAUUUGAGGUGGUCAAUACUAAACUCCUCAUUCUUUCUGUGUAGGUAAUGAUCAGGGAAAAAACCAAACUACUGCAUGCAUAAACUGUGCCAUAUCAGAUGAUAAAUUAUGAUAGACUGCUACUUUAUAAUGAUGCAUUAUUGGGUAAGGCUGAUGCAAGCAGCAUAUGAUUGAAGUACUGUUAGAGCUUGCUCUGUGAUAGCUCUAUUCCUUGCUCGCUUCACCCAAUCACCCGCUAUCUCCUCUGCCACGCUGCCUCUGAGUCCUUCUUGAAGAGCCUCAGCUGCUUCAGCAAGCUUUCCCUCAGCUAGGAAACUCUCAACUCUACUAAUAACAGAUUCAAUCCCAUCACCAGAUGGAUCAACUUCCUUAAACCUCAACCAGGAUGCAAUGCGUGCCAUAGCAUGUGCCAAUAUGCCACCACCACCAGGUGGGAUCAGAAUGUAGUGCCGUAGCGUCCCUUUCAAGGCAUUGAACUUCUGAUUCAAUUGUAACAAAGUAUCAGUACCAUGAUAUCGAGUUUCUUCGGGGAGGGUUGAUAAAACCAAAUGUACAAGAGAGUCUUUAUUGAUGCCUUCUAGAUAGGCAUUCAGAGAAUCUAGCUCUUGCUGAAUUGGAAGUCCUUUGGAAAGUGCAUCUUCUAAUGCAAGUGCUCCCAAAGNAAAAGCAAGCUUGUGAACAGAAUGAAUUUGACGAGCCUCUUCAGAUCGUGCAUAGAAUGCCAUACACAAAGCAUUAAUAUUGAGAUUUGCUUCAGCCAUUUUUUCAAUCUGUGCUGCCUUCUCACUCGCGAUUGCUGCAGCUAAUUCUGCUUUUGCCAGGUCCUGAAACUUUUUCAGAUUCAUUUCCGCUUCAUUUUUCUUCUGUUCAAGUUCCAUCUUGAGUUUUUCUUCCAUCUUUUCCUGAAGUGUUCUGAUGGCAGCUGCUGCUUUUGCUCUCUCUCUUUUUAUUUCCUUAUCAAGUAUUGCUGCCUCUUCAGCACGCAUAAGUUCCCUAGCUCUUAAAUCUCUCAAUUCCUUUUCGUACUUCUCCUUCAAUGCUUUUUUCUCCUCAGCAAAGGCAUGGGCAUCUAACUCAGCUUGCCUCUUUUCAGCUGCAUGAAUUGCUUCAAGAAAACUCAUAACCAUCUUUCCAUCUUUUGUUAUAUAGCUAUCAUUCAAUUCCUCUACGGCACUAACAAGAGCCUCUUCUUCUGGCCCCUCCAUUGCAAUGCUUUCUUCAGCCCUAUCCUUGAGAUUGUAUGCAUCAAGUAAACUUGCUGCUUCCGUACCUUUACCCACUGCAGCCUCUGAUCUGUCUUCUGUAGCGAGAUGCUGCGGCACUGUUUUUGUUUCACCCUCUUCAGGAACCAACUUGACCCGAGUUUGUUCUUGUGUAACUUGAACUCCCUCACUCGUUUCACUAGUAGUAUUUGAUUCAGAUUUUUCCUUGACCUUGUCAAGACUAUGUUCAGUAUUUAUACUUUGAGAAAAUUCUGGCACUUGUUUCUCCUUAACAGCAAUUGAUUCAUCUUCUGUUACUACCACAUCAGAUUUUUCUUGAAUGUAAGACUGGUUUAUACCUGGUGUUUCCUUCAAGGCUUCAUGAUGAUGAAUGUCUGUCUGUGAUUCAAUCCUCCCCUCAGCUUGAACCUGAGAAAGAUCUCUGUGAGUUCCAUCCUUGUGCUUAGUUUCAACAUGAGGAAG
This 1847-nucleotide unclassified non-coding RNA is filed under the name Hevea brasiliensis (rubber tree). Lineage: Eukaryota; Viridiplantae; Streptophyta; Magnoliopsida; Malpighiales; Euphorbiaceae. The record is from RNAcentral.